This 1995-nucleotide long non-coding RNA is filed under the name Piliocolobus tephrosceles (Ugandan red Colobus). Its description in RNAcentral is "lncRNA (ENSPTEG00000026920.1)". Lineage: Eukaryota; Metazoa; Chordata; Mammalia; Primates; Cercopithecidae. The record is from RNAcentral.
AUGAAUUUUUUAAAAAUCAUUGCCGUUAUAUUUUUUUCUGUACAACGGCUUCGGUUGUCUAAAUCUAUUUAUCUGUACCAUUCGACUAGCUAUAAAAACUCAAAUUCGUCUUCUCAAUUUUUUAAAAAUAAUGAAAUAACUAAGUAUAAGCAAAAACAACCUUUCUUUUAUAUUUAUCACAAACAUAGGAAAAAAAAAUAUAAAAUGACAAAUGAAGGAAUCCUACAUAGUAACAACCUUUUUGAUAAAAAAAAGACUCGUAGGAUAUACACAAUUGAUAACCGAACAUUUAAUAAGGUUAUAAAAAAAUAUUUUUUAAUUUUUUCUUUCCUUAAUAAUAUAAACAUUAAACAAAUGAUUAAAAAUUAUAACUAUUGUUCGAUUAAUAAAAAACACAAAUAUAAAAAUGAUUUGUAUAAUUACAAUUUUCAUAAGAAUAUAAAUAAAAGAAAUCAUGUUGUUAUAUAUAUGAUAUUAGCACCUAAAGGAUCAAUACAUGAAGAAAAAACAAAACAUAUAUUAUCUGAUCCUAUUAAUAAUUAUCCAUGGGAGAUUAGUAUUCCUUUUCAUGAAACUAUAACUAAAGAAUUAAGUCCUUAUUAUAACUUUUUAAAAUGUGAAUGGGCGUAUUUAAAUCAUAAAAAUGAUAAAAGAAGAUCAUGUGGUAAAAUAGAAGGAGGCUUAGAAAAUUAUACAGGUCAUGGGUUACAAUUAGAAAAAGGGAAAGAUAGACAAAGAUAUGAACAUAUACCUUAUUAUGAUGAUCAUGGGGUAGAAUGGAGAAAUAUAAAUAAAGAAACAGACAUUAUGUCAUUUGAUAUACAACCAGAUGGUAAUCAGGAUGUUUCUUUUUUAGAAACAGAGGAAGAUAUAGAAAAUAGACAAUGGGGUAAUUGGAAUUACAGUUGUUCAAAAGAAACAACUCAAUUAAAUUCUGUUUGGAGAGAUCCAGUUUUAUCCAAAGAUUUAUCAAAUAUGAUUUAUCCAUGGACACAUAAGUCUACAGAAAAUCAUAUUAUUCCUUUUGGUUUUCCUACAGCUACUACUUUUAUACCUGAUAUAAAAAUCGAAUGGGAGUUAGCUGCAAGAGGGUUUUUUGGUGGUUACUUUGAAGAUCCUAAUUAUAACAGAAUAAAAUUUUAUAAAAUCAUGAAAAAAUUAAUUCUAGAUUGGCACCAAUUAAGUCAAUUAAAUGAAAUUAAUAAAUCAAAACAAAAUCAAGAAGAAUCGACAAAAAAAAAAAAAAAAAAAAAAACUGAACAAUUAUUAUUAACUGAAAUUACCAAUAUAACUAAAAAAAUUGACAAAAUAAAAAUAGAUUUAUUUGGAACUUCUGGCAACAUUUUUAAUAAAAAAAUAAAUGGUGCAAAACAAAUAAAAUUAAUUAAUCAACAUGCUUUGUUAAGAGCAAAAAAUAUAUUACUUGAUCAUAUUUUAAAUCCAAAUAAUGAUCCAGAUUAUAUAAAAUAUUAUCUGGAUAAACAUGAACCAUUAGAUUAUAUAGGUGGAGGUAAUCAUAAAUGUACAGAAGAAGAAAUAAAAGAUAAAACAAUUGCAUUAAAUAUGGUUGUUUUUCCAAUGAAACAACAAAUAGAUUCUUAUUCUUAUAAUAUGUCUAUAUCCGAAAUGGCAGAAAUGUAUCAUUAUUAUAUGACCGAAAUUAAUGGGCAAGGUAGAUCACAUCAAACAUUUGAAGAUGUAGUAGAAGAUAAAUAUCUUUGUUACGAAUUAAAAGAAGAAAGAAAAAAAUUCCCUGCACUUGUUUCUUUAUAUAAACCAUUAUGGACAAACAUUAAAUAUGGAGAAGAAUUUGGACAAGCUAUCACACCAAGUCAUAAAUUAGAGCUACACAAAUUAAAUAAGUUUAUGACCAAAUUAAAAAAAAAAAAAAAAAUAUAUAUAAACUUGGACAAACAGUCCAGUGAUAGUCAUGAUCACGAUCAAUACAAUUACAUUGACGAUUAUGCGUAUGUUGAUGAAGAGUAUGAUUUUUAG